Long non-coding RNA from Panicum virgatum (switchgrass), 718 nucleotides. RefSeq lists it as uncharacterized. The record is from RefSeq and is a predicted model, not a curated record. Lineage: Eukaryota; Viridiplantae; Streptophyta; Magnoliopsida; Poales; Poaceae. The transcript has 3 exons.
CGUCCUUCGUCCGUCGUCACCCUCCCCGACCGUACGUCGCCCCUCUCCUGUUUCGUCUAGCCACAGAUUGUCUCCCGUGCGAGAUCUGCAUACCCGCCUGCCGCGCGUCGUCCUCGCUGGCCGAACCGUCCCCGCCGGAUGGAUCCGUGCCCUUCGCAGUGGAUGUCGGUGUUCCCGCCGCGCUCGGUACCACCGUGUCGACUACUUUGAGAAGCUCGAGCAGAUCGGGGAGGGCACCUAGGGUACGCAUCUCUUGAAACUCCCCCGAUUUCCCCAAUCCCGCGUGGCCGCGUACACGCUGCAUCCUGCAUGCGCAUCGGCCCAGCUGGGUGCCCCCACUGGUUCGUUUUUUGUUGUGAUUGGUGCCAGGCAAUUGAUCGUGGAGAAGGUGGAGAAGGAGACGGAGAUGAAGGAAAUCGUGGCAGUCAAGAAUAUCCACAUGGACAACAAGCGUGAGGGCGGCUAGAGAGAGACGAGCAGGGGAAGCAAGGCCUGUGUUAAUUGUUUCUGGGAGAUUAAACUCCAGUUGCAGAUUCACUACGUCAGUUAAGAAUUUCAGAAGCUGCAUCACAACCCUAGGCUUAUAUCCAUUACAUUUUUUAAAAAUCAUAUACUACUGAAAGCUAUCAAUGUGCACUGCACAUAUUAGGAUAAUUAUUGUACUAAAUGGUGGUCAGGACAAUCUGGUUAAGCUAGGCGGAUGGUAAUGUUGGUAUCA